AGAUUGAACGCUGGCGGCAGGCCUAACACAUGCAAGUCGAGCGGUAGAGAGGUGCUUGCACCUCUUGAGAGCGGCGGACGGGUGAGUAAUGCCUAGGAUCUGCCUAGUGGUGGGGGAUAACGUUCGGAAACGGACGCUAAUACCGCAUACGUCCUACGGGAGAAAGCGGGGACCUUCGGGCCUCGCGCCAUUAGAUGAGCCUAGGUCGAUUAGCUAGUUGGUGAGGUAAUGGCUCACCAAGGCGACGAUCCGUAACUGGUCUGGAGAGGAUGAUCGAGUCACGACUAGGAACUGGACGACCGACGGUCCAGUACCUCCGUACGGGAGCAGCGAGGUAGGGAAUUAGUAGGAACAAGUGGGACAAAGGCCUAGACUCCG
Molecule: ribosomal RNA, 378 nt
Filed under: uncultured soil bacterium
Lineage: Bacteria
Description: bacterial SSU rRNA
Rfam family: Bacterial small subunit ribosomal RNA
Source: RNAcentral